This 508-nucleotide ribosomal RNA is filed under the name uncultured bacterium. Its description in RNAcentral is "partial 16S ribosomal RNA". It matches the Rfam family "Bacterial small subunit ribosomal RNA", at positions 28 to 507 of the family's 1533-position model. The record is from RNAcentral.
GACGAACGCUGGCGGCGUGCCUAAUACAUGCAAGUCGAACGCUUCUUUCCUCCCGAGUGCUUGCACUCAAUUGGAAAGAGGAGUGGCGGACGGGUGAGUAACACGUGGGUAACCUACCCAUCAGAGGGGGAUAACACUUGGAAACAGGUGCUAAUACCGCAUAACAGUUUAUACCGCAUGGCAUAAGAGUGAAAGGCGCUUUCGGGUGUCGUUGAUGGAUGGACCCGCGGUGCAUUAGCUAGUUGGUGAGGUAACGGCUCACCAAGGCCACGAUGCAUAGCCGACCUGAGAGGGUGAUCGGCCACACUGGGACUGAGACACGGCCCAGACUCCUACGGGAGGCAGCAGUAGGGAAUCUUCGGCAAUGGACGAAAGUCUGACCGAGCAACGCCGCGUGAGUGAAGAAGGUUUUCGGAUCGUAAAACUCUGUUGUUAGAGAAGAACAAGGACGUUAGUAACUGAACGUCCCCUGACGGUAUCUAACCAGAAAGCCACGGCUAACUACGUG